Arachis ipaensis is the source of this 1269-nucleotide non-coding RNA. The record is from RefSeq and is a predicted model, not a curated record. Lineage: Eukaryota; Viridiplantae; Streptophyta; Magnoliopsida; Fabales; Fabaceae.
CUUGUGGCCCACUUUAGGUUUUUAACCUUUUACUUUGUUUUCGAAAAUGGGGUGUGGCAAUUUUAUUUGUUGAUAUUAGUAAUUUUGUUUGUUUAUGUGUGAAUAUAUUCUGUAAAUAUUCCUGAUUAAGUCCCACUGAUAUACAUGCCUUUCCUCCCGUAGAUUCUGUAUUGUUCCAUAUUGGUGGAUAUGCAAGUGUGAAAUUUUGUGACAUAUGGUAGUAACUAGUAAGUAGAGUUGUUUGUUCUUUUAACUUCUAAAAGAGAUUCCUCGGAUGGAACAAUGUACAUGCUUUUUAAAACCAAAUUGUGUCUGUUGAACCAAAAUUUUUGUGAUCACCGUUUUCAACAUAUGCAAGCACUUGUAUCUACUGGGCCACAAAGGUUAUCAAUUUCAUUCUGGUAUUAGUUCAUGUUGGGAAUGACUUUGUUUUGCAAAUUAAAUAGUUGCAAAGUUACUGCAAAACAACGGCAUGGAAUUUAGUAGUGGUCUUGCUCUCAUUUAUUUUCUUUGUUUUCCUUUGAAAAAAUAACAUACUAGCUAUUGUCUUUGAUUGGAAUGUAGAAGAUAGUACAUGUUUUCAUGGUUUUAUUUUUUGUUGUAACAACCGGUGAAGCAUGAUUAACUUUUGAAGCAUUCAUGGAGUAAAUGAUUAACUUUUAAUGUGUUUAUUUGUUUUUUAUUUUUCGUUUAAAAUAAUACAGUUUUUCUGGUUCGACCCCGGUCAAACCGUUUGGAUCUCUGUACCAGUGUGUGUCCAUAUAUUAUAGUACGAUAGUUGGAGAUACCCUUUAACUUCAAGAAAGUAACUAGUCGUGUGCGUCGAUAUAUUAAUUUUCUUUGCUUUUUCAUUGUUAUUUCAUCUCGGGAGCGGAAAUCCCCACCUGUUUAGCCAUACCCUGUAAACAAUGAAACGAUCGGUUGGUUGCUGUUAUGUACUUGAGUCUUUGCUGCGACAUUUUACCGAUUCAUUAAUUUUUGAAUCUCAUCAUCGGUAUAUGGCUGCAUAGCUGCUUGACUCCUAUCAUUCGUUAUGACCGGCUUGAAUUAGUUCCCCCGGUGUUUCCGUUGGCCAGCACCCAGGCGAGAGCCAUUUCCAGCCGUGUAAUGUUGUUAUUCCAUGUCAGGUCCAUCCCAGUUCAACAUGCUCUGUGUCGUGUGCCCGAAAAAGCACGAAAGAAACCCCUGUUAGGGGUCCAUAUGCGGGCGACGAUGGUUCUCUCUUCUCAGCCGCAAGUUGUGGCUCAUCCUGUGGAGCAUACCACCACA